AAAAGCACUUCCCUGUGGUGGGUGAAUUACAUGUCCUUUGCCAAGGCAAGCUGCAGAGGAGGGGCUGUGAGGUCAGGUCAGCGUGUAAUUGAGCACCUGCUGCAUGCCUGGUCUUGGGAGAAGCCAGGAGGUCCUCAGAGAGGCUUGUGGGGCAGAAGCAGCUCAGAAGCAGGAUCAGGCUUCCACUCCCUCCAAGGGAAGGGCCAAGCUUGCCAGGCCAGGUGACACUCCCCUGGGUGCCUGCCGGCAGCCCCCACCAUGGAGUAACCAGAGCCACCCUGUCCCCCUCGCUAAGCUGAGGUUUUGAGUUAUUCUCAGUGAUGACCUUUCCCUGAACAGCAGCCGCAGUCAUUAAAGGCCAAGGGGCAGGGUGAGGCCGGAGGUGUGACUGGGCAGGCCUGGAAAGGAGCUGCAGGAGCAGCUGGAGGGCUGCGGAGACGAGGUGCCAGGCCCCAGGGAGAGGUCCUGCGGGGCAGCUUGCAGAGCAAAUAUUGCCUGAGUGGCAGCACUGCAGGCUACUCCAGUGACAGGCGUCACAGGGACUCAAGUCUGCUAGAGCCAGAGCCAGUGCCAAGCAGUGUGCAGGUGCUUUCCUUGCAGCUUGCUUGAGUGCGGCCGAGGGGUGAGAAGGGCUCCAGCUGCAGGGUGCAGGGAAGGCUUGGGGGUGCAGAGAGGCAGUGCAGGGUGUGGCGUGGGUGCUGUGAAUGCAAUGAGUGUGGCUCUAACACGUGACCGCGGCAGGUGUACCUAAGAGAGCAUCAUCCACUUGGGAUUUCCCCACUGGGGCUGUUGCCAGGGCUUUAUACUGGAAGCUCUGUGCUGGGCGGCAGCAUCUGGAGCUGUCCUCUCUUUUGAAUGUCCCAAAGGCCUUGGAGCCUGGAAGAGAAUUCAGCCCUGAAGCUCUAAGGCAUCUGUUGUGUGUAAUGAGUUACCUUCUUUCUAGAAUGGGCCUAGUUAAUGUACCAUCCUUGGAAGGAUUGAGAAGAGUCACUCAGAUCCUUUUCUGCAUCCUGUGGCUCAGAUGAGGAACCCCGGUCAAGAGAGACUGUGCAGAGUCUAACAAAUGUUGCAUGCCUGACACAGGAGGGGAGGCGCCUUCCACCUCCUCCCCAGGAUCUGGAGCCUGAGCAGGCGGUGGUCAGGGAUGUGGGGGGGCUCCCGCGAGCCAAGGAGCCCAGCACAGCAGGGCUGUGUCCCAGCCUGGGUUUUCAUUGCCUGUAACCACCCAGCCUGCAGAGCUGAGUGGGGGGUGUGGCUUAGGGAGAGACCUGAGUCUCCCAGGUAAGACCUAGGAAUGCGAAUUGGGCACAGGAACGUGGGGCAGGGGCUGGCCAGUGAGGCCCAAGUGGCCAGGGUAGGCGCACUGGAGGCCUCCUGGGCCAGGCCAGACAUGGAGGAACUUGCCCAGGUCACUAAGGGUGUAUAUUGCUGAAUUGAGAAAGUGACAUCUGAAGAUCCAGGGAUAGGUGAAAUUUCUGGAUCUAGGGCCUCUCAGGUGAGAUAGAGGAGUCAGGAUAGACUUAAGGAUAUUGUGCUGGCUCUGAGGUACCAUCAGAAGAGUCUGGUCUGGCAUAGGUACAUGUAAGUGGUGAGGCCCCAUCAGCUGGGCUCAGUCAUGGGGCAGCCUCGUGCGUCGGGAUCAGGCAGAGGUGUGGUAAACUGUGGGGUCCUUCAGGGCCCAGCCAGAGUCAGCACAUGUUGGAGAGCUCAUUUGGGCUGCUGAGGUCUGAAGAGGAGCCAGGACAGGCACAGGUGAGUUCUGAGGAGGCACCAGUACAGGUAAAGGUACAGGUGGGGUCUGUGAAUUCUGGAGGAAUUCAGAUAUUUGGAGAUGGUUCUCUCGAGUGGAGUGUGAGGAGCCAAAGUCAUGUACAGGUACUUAAACCCAGAUCCAUGAAUCUGAUUUAAGAUGUAUUCGCUGGAGUCUCUCUGGUUCUGAAAAGAGAGCUUCAGGCCGUGGGUGGCUCAUCCCUCAAGUGAGGUGAUUAGAACUCAGGCUUAGGCAAACAUAGGUAAGUCCCCUCCACCAGGUCAACCACCAGGUUUUCAGCAUCCUGACCAGGUGUGAUGGGCAGAGCUCAGAGUAUUGUAGGGGCCUCUGAGGAUCCAUAGCCAGCAUGAGGCAUGCUAGGUGGCAUUGGGGUCUGACUGGAUGGCGUUUGAGGAACCAGAUGACGGGGAGGUCAGGAUGCACCUGCUUCUAAAAGGUGAGGACUAGGGAGUUGGGGCAGGUGAAGAACAGACCGGUGAGCUGACUGAGGAGCCAUGUCGGUAAGACUCAGAAUAAGAGGCUCGUGUUAGAUAACUAUCCAGAGACUCUGUCUCUAGAAGGGUCGGAGGCCCAUGUCACUCAGACACUGGCACCCGUGGGCUCUUCUGAGGUUUCCCCCAGGCCGAGGUAAGCAGCUGGGAAUCUGUCAGUUCCCAGGGAAGAGUCUUUUCAGGUUAGGUUUGCACAGUGGAGUCUGCCAGGGGUCAUCUCUAGACCAUGUCUGUCGGAGGUCUCAGGAGCUGGAAUCAGACAGGUGUGUUUAACUAGGGGAGGCCUAGAAGCCAGAUUAGGUCCAUCCAGGCAGAAAUGGGUAAGGAUGCGGGAGCCGAAGGUAAGCACAGACUCAGUAAGAGCUGAGUAUGACAGAUGGAAACUGGAAAUCCACGAUCAGGUCCAGGUCAGACUGUGUCCUCAGGUGUUGUUUGAGGAGCUCUGGUGAUGCUCAGGUUGAUGGUUCUGGAGAUGGUCCUCGGUUCCCUGGGGAAAAGACUGAAAAACCAGAGUCAGGUAAAGAGGUGGAGCACUGCAUCCAUCCACCUGGAAGGUUCACGAAUUCUGGGUCUGUCUCAGGUACACAAAACAGGUCUGUUGGGUGAGGUUUGAGGUUUGUGAGAUCCAGGUAUGUCCGUUUGGUUCUUAAAACAGGUAAGGUCAGAGCUGCUGAGGUCAGUCCCUGGUUUGCAUUCCAAAUCUGCGGAGCUAGGGUCCACCACAGGGGAAUAGAACUGAUUGUUUUAGGGAACAUCUAUAAAACCAAGAGCAAGCCAGAGGUAGGUUGAAAAGCUGUGUUAGGUUCAUUAAAGUCCAUCCCACAGUUGAAGUCAGGCACAGGUAGGUAGAGCAGAUCUGUCAGGUGAGGCCUGAGGAGCAAGCCAGGGUUAGGCUCAUCUAGAAAGAACUGGACCUCUUAGGUGACCUUUGAGGAUCUGGAGUGAAUACAGGUGGAUAGAGGUAGGUAUCUCAGGUGAGAUCUGAGGAGCUGGCAGUGGGCAUGGUUGAGACUGUCUGGAUCUCCCAGGUAAGGUCGAGGUAGGUAGGUGGAACUGCAUCCCUAUCUGUCUUGUAGAGGUUUCUUGAGGAUUUGCAGCCAGGCACAGGUAUGUGCAGUUGAAUUUCUCAGGUAAGGUCUAUGGAUCAGCAUCUUGCACAAGUUUUAUCCAUGGGUCUGUCAGUUUGAGUUAAGCACAGGUGGGUAGAGUAGGGUUUGUCUGUGGAGUCAGGAUUAGGGCAAGUUCACAAAACUAGGUCUGUCCAGUGCAAUCUCAGAGUCACAGCCAAGUCCAGGUAAGAAGAACCAAAUGUCUUCGAUGAGCUGUGACCUGCCGUGAUGAGGUAAAGGUAGUCAGAGCUAGCCUGCCAGGGGCAGCCUCAGGAGCCGAGAGCAAGCACAGGUAGGUAGAACUGACCUGCCAGGUGUGGCCCAAGGAGCCAGAGUCAAGCACACAGGUAGGCAGAGCUGGUUUGUUAGAUACAAUGUAAGGAGCCAAGGUCAUCAAUAGGUAGGUAGCACUGGUCUGCUGGGUAUGGUCUGAGGAGUGAGGGUCAAGCACAGGUAGGCAGAGCUGGUCUACUAGGUAUGGUCUGAAGAGCCAGGGUCAAGAUGCAGGUAGGCCCAUCAGGUAUUGUUGGAGGAGCCCAGGUCAGACAGGUAGGUGGAACUGGUCCAAUAAGCCUGCUCUGAGGAUCCAAGAUUAUGUACAGGUAGGUAGAGCUGGUCUACUAAGUACAGCCUAAGGAGUCAGAAUCACUCCUGUACAGGUAGACAGAGCUGGUCUACUGGUACAGCAUUAGGACCCAGGAUUCUGUACAGGUAGGCAGACCUGACCCUGAGAUAUGGCUGGAGGGGCCAGGGUCAGAGACAGGUAGGCAGACUUGGUCCAUUAAGUAUGGUCUAAAGAGCCAGGGUCAAGCCAUUCAGGUAGGUGGAGUUGGCCCAUCAGCUCUGGCUGGAGGAGCCAGUGUCAAGAGAGAGGUAGGUAGAGCUAGUCUCCUUUGAAUGAGCUGAGGACUCAGCGUCAUGGACAGGUAUACAGAGUUGGUCUGCCAGCUGUGGUCUGAGGACCCAGGGUCAUGUACAGGUAGGCAGACCUGACCAUCAGGUAUGUGGAAGGAACCAGAGUUAGAUACAGGUAGGUAGAGAUGGUUCACUAGGUACAGCAUGAGGACCCAGGGUUGUGAACAGGUAAGCAAGCUGGUUCACUAAGUAUGGUCUGAAGAGCCAUGGUCAAGCCAUACAGGUAGGUAGAGCUAGCCCAUCAAGAACAGCUGGAGGAACCAGGGUUAGAGACAGGUAGGUGGAACUGGUCUGCUUUGUAUGCUCCAAGGACCCAGGGUCAUGUACAGGUAGGCAGAGCUGGUCUGAGGACCCAGGGUCUUGUACAGGUAGGCAGAGCUGGUCUGAGGACCCAGGGUCUUGUACAGGUAGGCAGAGCUGGUCUGAGGACCCAGGGUCUUGUACAGGUAGGCAGAGCUGGUCUGAGGACCCAGGGUCAUGUACAGGUAGGCAGAGCUGGUCUGAGGACCCAGGGUCUUGUACAGGUAGGCAGAGCUGGUCUGAGGACCCAGGGUCUUGUACAGGUAGGCAGAGCUGGUCUGAGGACCCAGGGUCUUGUACAGGUAGGCAGAGCUGGUCUGAGGACCCAGGGUCUUGUACAGGUAGGCAGAGCUGGUCUGAGGACCCAGGGUCUUGUACAGGUAGGCAGAGCUGGUCUGAGGACCCAGGGUCAUGUACAGGUAGGCAGAGCUGGUCUGAGGACCCAGGGUCUUGUACAGGUAGGCAGAGCUGGUCUGAGGACCCAGGGUCUUGUACAGGUAGGCAGAGCUGGUCUGAGGACCCAGGGUCUUGUACAGGUAGGCAGAGCUGGUCUGAGGACCCAGGGUCUUGUACAGGUAGGCAGAGCUGGUCUGAGGACCCAGGGUCGUGUACAGGUUGGUAGAGUUCUCCCAUCAGGUGUGGUCUGAAGACCCAGGGUCAAGCCACACAGGUAGGUAGGGUUGGCCCCUGAGGUAUGGUUGGAGGAGCCAGGGUCAGAGACAGGUAGGCAGAGCUGGUCUGCUAGGAAUGGUCUGAAGAGCCAAGGGUCAUGUACAGGUAGGUGGAGCUGCUCUACCAGGUAUGGUCUGAGGACCCAGGAUCAUGUACAGGUAGGCAGAGCUUGUUUUCUAAUUAUGGUCUGAUCUCCCAGGGUCAUGUACAGGUAGGUAAGAGUGGGCCUAUCAGGGAUGGUCUGAAGAGCCAGGGUCAAGCCACGCAGGUAGGUGGGCUUGGCCCAUCAGGUAUGGUUGGAGGAGCCAGGGUCAGAGAUAGGUAGGUAGAGCUGGUCUGCUUUGUAUGAUCCGAGUACCCAGGAUCUUGUCCAGGUAGAUAGAGCUGGUCUGCCAGGUAUGGUCUGAAGAGCCAAGGGUCAUGUACAGGUAGGCAGAGCUGGUCCUCUAAGUAUGGUCUGAAGAGCCAGGGUCAAGUCAUAUGGGUAGGUAGAGUUGGCCCAUCAGCUAUGGUCUGAAGAGCCAAGGGUCAUGUACAGGUAGGUGGAGCUGGUCUGUCAGGUACGGUCUGAGGACCCAGGAUCACGUACAGGUAGGCAGAGCUUGUUUUCUAAUUAUGGUCUGAUCUCCCAAGGUCAUGUACAGGUAGGUAGAGUUGGCCCAUCAGCUAUGGUCUGAAGAGCCAAGGGUCAUGUACAGGUAGGUAGAACUGGUCUCCUGGGUAUGGUCUGAGGACCCAAGGUCAAGUUCAGGUAGGCAGAGCUUGUUUUCUAAUUACGGUCUGAGGACCCAGGGUCAUGUAUAGGUAGGUAGAGUUGGCCCAUCAGGUAUGGUCGGAAGAGCCAGGCUCAGAGACAGGUAGGCAGAGCUGAUCCACUAGGUGCAGUCUGAGGACCCAGGGUCAUAUACAGACUGGUCCUCUAGGUAUGGUCUGAAGAGCCAGGGUCAAGUCGCACAGGUAGGUAGAAUUGGUCCAUCGGGCCAAGCCUGUCUGCCAGGUGUAGUCUUUUUUUUUUUUUUUUGUCUUUUUGCCAUUUCUUGGGCCACUCCUACAGCAUAUAGAGGUUCCCAGGCUAGGGGUCGAAUCGGAGCUGUAGUCACCGGCCUACGCCAGAGCCACAGCAACGCAGGAUCCGAGCCACGUUUGCAACUACACCACAGCUCACGGCAACACUGGAUCCUUAACCCGCAACCUCAUGGUUCCUAGUCGGAUUCGUUAACCACUAAGCUACAACGGGAACUCCUGCCAAGUGUAGUCUUGAGGAGGCCUAAGGCGUAAGGGUUGAAUGCAGGUGGGUAGAGUUGGCUCUUUCAGGUGUUGGAUUCAGGCAGAGGUAUGUACCCCUGGUCUUUUUGUGAGGCCUGAAGAACCAUAGUAAAGCCCUGGUGGGUAGAGCAGCCCCAGUUCAGGCCUGUGCCAUGGGGUCUUCUGUAGGUAGGCAGAAUACUGGGCUUAUAGGAGAUCUGGGGGCCCUAAGUUAGCUGGGGUCGGUAGAUGCGGCUGUCAAGGAAAUACUUUGAGGCCAGACCUAUGUACACUUGAGUCUUACAGACGAAGUCCUUGGAGCAUGGAUCUGACUCGGGUGUUGACCCAGGUCCUAGAGGUUAGGCCUGGGGGGCAUGGGUUAGUCACAGGUAGUAGAACCACAUCUCUCAGGUGGGGUCUGCUGAGCACAGAUAUGCAGAGAUACUUGUGUCUGAUGAGGUCUGAGGCUCCUUGGUGAGGUGUUGGUGCCGCGGUUAAGCAGAGGUUGGUAGUUUAGGUUCUGUUUGCGAGACAUGAAAAGCCGAGUCCAACAUAGACGAUAGACCUGGGUCUUUCAUGUUAGGCCUGGAGCAGAAAUCAGGCCCAUGGAGACAGAGCCAGAUCUCUCAGGAAGAUGGGAGGAGUCUUGAGUUGGGCUCAGGGAGGUGGACUUGGGUCUGUUGGUUGAGAUGUGAGGAGUCAGGGUUAAGCACAGAAAGGUAAGUGAAGCCUGGCUUAUUAGCUGAGCUGUCUGGAGCCUGCCUCUGACAGGUGUGGAACCCUGUAGUGUGAGGUACCGGAGUGGGAGCCUGCCUCCCAGGUGAAGCCACUGCGUCUGUACCCAGUGCUGCGAUGUUGACCUGGCUUUGUCACUGAGUUUCUGGAUCGAGGUCACAUGGACAGCAGUUCCCAUCGUGGCUCAGCAGUAACAAACCCAACUAGCAUCCAUGAGGACAUGGGUUCGACCCCUGGCCUCACUCAGUGGGUUAAGGACCCAGCGUUGCCAUGAGCUGUGGUGUAGGCCGGCAACUGCAGCUCUGAUUCGACCCCUUUGCCUGGGAACUUCCAUAUGCCUCGGGUGCAGCCAUAAAAAGCAAAAAAAAAAAAAAAAAAAAAAAAAAGAAGAAAAA
Sus scrofa (pig) is the source of this 7633-nucleotide non-coding RNA. The record is from RefSeq and is a predicted model, not a curated record. NCBI's taxonomy places the organism in Eukaryota, Metazoa, Chordata, Mammalia, Artiodactyla, Suidae.